Molecule: ribosomal RNA, 483 nt
Filed under: uncultured bacterium
Lineage: Bacteria
Description: partial 16S ribosomal RNA
Rfam family: Bacterial small subunit ribosomal RNA
Source: RNAcentral
GACGAACGCUGGCGGCGUGCUUAACACACGCAAGUCGAACGGAAAGGCUCCAGCUUGCUGGAGUACUCGAGUGGCGAACGGGUGAGUAACACGUGGGUAAUCUGCCCUGCACUCUGGAAUAAGCCUGGGAAACUGGGUCUAAUACUGGAUAUGACCUUUCUCCUUAUGGGGUUUGGUGGAAAGUUUUUCGGUGUAGGAUGAGCCCGCGGCCUAUCAGCUUGUUGGUGGGGUGAUGGCCUACCAAGGCGACGACGGGUAGCCGACCUGAGAGGGUGAUCGGCCACAUUGGGACUGAGAUACGGCCCAGACUCCUACGGGAGGCAGCAGUGGGGAAUAUUGCACAAUGGGCGGAAGCCUGAUGCAGCGACGCCGCGUGAGGGAUGACGGCCUUCGGGUUGUAAACCUCUUUCAGCAGGGACGAAGCGUAAGUGACGGUACCUGCAGAAGAAGCACCGGCUAACUACGUGCCAGCCGCCGCCGUAA